GACGAACGCUGGCGGCGUGCUUAACACAUGCAAGUCGAACGGAAAGGCCCUGCUUUUGUGGGGUGCUCGAGUGGCGAACGGGUGAGUAACACGUGAGUAACCUGCCCUUGCCUUUGGGAUAACUUCAGGAAACUGGGGCUAAUACCGGAUAGGAGCUCCUGCUGCAUGGUGGGGGUUGGAAAGUUUCGGCGGUUGGGGAUGGACUCGCGGCUUUUCAGCUUGUUGGUGGGGUAGUGGCUUACCAAGGCUUUGACGGGUAGCCGGCCUGUGAGGGUGACCGGCCACAUUGGGACUGAGAUACGGCCCAGACUCCUACGGGAGGCAGCAGUGGGGAAUAUUGCACAAUGGGCGGAAGCCUGAUGCAGCAACGCCGCGUGCGGGAUGACGGCCUUCGGGUUGUAAACCGCUUUCGCCUGUGACGAAGCGUGAGUGACGGUAAUGGGUAAAGAAGCACCGGCUAACUACGUG
RNAcentral lists this ribosomal RNA (468 nucleotides) under uncultured bacterium. Its description in RNAcentral is "partial 16S ribosomal RNA". It matches the Rfam family "Bacterial small subunit ribosomal RNA", at positions 28 to 507 of the family's 1533-position model. The record is from RNAcentral.